Molecule: long non-coding RNA, 247 nt
Filed under: Bos taurus (domestic cattle)
Lineage: Eukaryota; Metazoa; Chordata; Mammalia; Artiodactyla; Bovidae
Description: long non-coding RNA NONBTAT009806
Source: RNAcentral
GGGGACCUGGCCAUACACUUGGUUGAUAAACCAGGUUUCCACUUGCAGAGCAGAAUCUUUCAUCUCUGGCAGAAUGCAGCCACCAUGUACCCUGUUCCUCUGUGUUUCACUUUAAAGUCACUGCUGAAAUAGUUCCUACACUUGCUUUUGGGGAAUUUGUGACAUCACGUAAGAAUCGUUUUCGAGAGAUGCGGAGACCCACCUAACACAGGUGACCGUUUUUCCUGUACUGGUUCUCUUAUCCCUG